AGUAUGAGGAUUGUGCUUCAUGCUAUAGUUGGGUCUCUGGUCAUGCAGAUCCUGGCCACUACCACCCCACUUUCUACUGACUUGAGUGCUUAAGCAGAUACCUCAGAGAAAAAGAAUCACGAACUUUCUUGAAACAUUUGACCUCUCUGGAGCUCAAGUAGUCUUUGCCUAUACAACUGGGCAAACUUCUUUAUUUCUAAGAACAAAGGCUCAUUAAAAGAAAAAAGUCUUUAAAGUCUCCUUGGACAUCAAAUAAUUCUACAGAGGAAAUGCUUUGAUGAGUUUGGAACCCCUGAUGACAGAAGCCCUACGGGAACAGAUCUGGGCCCUGGAGAUGAGAACUGUGCAGGAUGAGGAAGAGGGAAAGGCAUCUGACUGAACAGACAGUGACUCCCAAUGCACAAGGAACAGACGGUCAUCCUUACAACGAACCAGAAGCUGCACAACAGGCUGAACAUUUGGGAGUGACUUUCCUUGGGUCAAGGGCCACUGCUGUCUAGCUUGUGAAAUAAGCCAGAGCAGACUCACAACGAUCCAGGACAACUUUGAGGCUGUUUUUCCUGCUUGCAGUAGCAGUGUGAUCCCUGAACAGAAUUUCCACCAAGAGAGGCUCCCUUCUGUUCACUCUGUGAAGGCUGGGAAAUUCACCAUUUACCUCCAAACAUUCUAGACUAAAUUUCAAAAGGCUCAUGGAACACUAUGGCAAAGUUUAGAGCUGUGGCCUGCCAUAGCCUCUUGGGGUGGACCAGUGGACAUGUGUGGCUGGCUGAGAAAGCAAGUCUGUGGGUGGCUCUUAACUCAAGUGUUCACCCAGAGCAAUAACGUGACUUUGGACUUAGAAUGCCGGUUCCUUCUUCUGGAAGAAUGGCUUUCGUGGUUGCUUGAAUGCUUCGGUGGGCUGUCUUCAGAACCUGCCCAAAGAAAGCCAACACAUUAUCACCAGGGGCCUCUGGGCUUUGUGGCUGACUCCUGGGAUCUGCCAUGCUUCUCAGCUAAAAUCCAAUUCUUACUUGAUGUCCCUCUAGUGGCCCCAUUAAUAAAUUAAGGCCAGGGGAAUCUGA
This is a long non-coding RNA of Mus musculus (house mouse), 1061 nucleotides long. RefSeq annotates it as RIKEN cDNA 4933433G19 gene. The record is from RefSeq and is marked validated. The transcript is spliced from 9 exons. NCBI's taxonomy places the organism in Eukaryota, Metazoa, Chordata, Mammalia, Rodentia, Muridae.